CAAUAGCGUAUAUUAAAGUUGUUGCAGUUAAAAAGCUCGUAGUUGAAUUUUUGCUUGCCGCCGAUGUCGGAACUUCCGUACGUUCGGCGGCGUGCAUCCUUGGGUGGAACCUGUGUGGCAUUAGGUUGUCGUGCAGGGGAUGCUCAUCGUUUACUGUGAAAAAUUAGAGUGUUCAAAGCAGGCUUACGCCGUUGAAUAUAUUAGCAUGGAAUAAUAAGAUAGGACCUUGGUACUAUUUUGUUGGUUUGCGCACCGAGGUAAUGAUUAACAGGGACAGUUGGGGGUAUUCGUAUUCCAUUGUCAGAGGUGAAAUUCUUGGAUUUCUGGAAGACGAACUACUGCGAAAGCAUUUACCAAGGAUGUUUUCAUUAA
RNAcentral lists this ribosomal RNA (372 nucleotides) under uncultured eukaryote. RNAcentral describes it as "partial 18S ribosomal RNA". It matches the Rfam family "Eukaryotic small subunit ribosomal RNA", at positions 592 to 976 of the family's 1831-position model. The record is from RNAcentral.